UGGGAGGUAGUUCAAUGGUAGAAUGCUGAGUUGCACUUUCAGAGAUAUUGGUUCAAUUCCAAUCUUCCCUU
Molecule: non-coding RNA, 71 nt
Organism: Tritrichomonas musculus
Lineage: Eukaryota; Parabasalia; Tritrichomonadida; Tritrichomonadidae
Source: the annotation of a GenBank genome assembly